Molecule: long non-coding RNA, 636 nt
Organism: Notolabrus celidotus (New Zealand spotty)
Lineage: Eukaryota; Metazoa; Chordata; Actinopteri; Labriformes; Labridae
Exons: 2
Source: RefSeq, a predicted model, not a curated record
UACCAGGCCAUGAACUCACACAACCUGCAGACUUUUCUUCAGACUCAUCUCUUUAUUUUAUUGGACUGGAUUUCCCACGAUUCAAAAUGCCACCAGUAAAGAUAAAUGUUCUUUACAGUGUGCAAGAUGUGAUUGAUGCCAUCACAAAUGGAGACAGUGAUUUUGCGAUGGAUUCAGACAAUGAAACCAGUGACGAAGAGGCAGAUUAACAUGCAAAGUGGACAAAGAAAAUCUACAGCCCACUGACUGCCCAGCUAACCAUUAUAUGAACAUUGAGCCCCAAACUACCAAACACAAAAUGCCCGGUGACCAGUACCAUUGGCUAAAAAAGGAUUUCUUUAGUCUCAAUACUGAUUUAUCUGGUCCAGAUAUCACCACUAAUGUAAUUUCUCUCCACACACCACUAGAGUACUUCAAGAAGUGUGUGUCCGAUUAUAUAGAAUAGAUAUACCAACACCCUACGCAGCAAGUGUAAUGUUCAUCUUUGCUUUCAGAGGAAAUGAACUGUUUCUGGGACUACUGCUGCAAAUGUACCAAGCUGAACACUGGGACACUAGGACUUUGAAUGCUCAGAGGGGGUUUUGUAAAUACAGUAUUAUCUUCGUUUUUAAAUUAAUAAAUGACUUCAUAAAAAAA